AUACUUACCUGGCAGAGGAAAUACCAUGAUCAGGAAGGUGGUUUUCCCAGGGUGAGGCUUACCCAUUGCACUUCGGGUUUGCUGACUCCUGCGAUUUCCCCAAAUGUGGGAAACUCGACUGCAAAAUUUGUGAUAGUGGGGGACUGCGUUCGCGCUUUCCCCUG
This 164-nucleotide small nuclear RNA is filed under the name Delphinapterus leucas (beluga whale). RNAcentral's name for it is "U1 spliceosomal RNA (ENSDLEG00000012726.1)". It matches the Rfam family "U1 spliceosomal RNA". From Rfam's summary of the family: U1 is a small nuclear RNA (snRNA) component of the spliceosome (involved in pre-mRNA splicing). Its 5' end forms complementary base pairs with the 5' splice junction, thus defining the 5' donor site of an intron. Lineage: Eukaryota; Metazoa; Chordata; Mammalia; Artiodactyla; Monodontidae. The record is from Rfam by way of RNAcentral.